Molecule: small RNA, 1916 nt
Filed under: Pan troglodytes (chimpanzee)
Lineage: Eukaryota; Metazoa; Chordata; Mammalia; Primates; Hominidae
Description: retained intron
Source: RNAcentral
UAAUAGAGGUGGUAUUUUUUGACUUCCAUUUGUGAAGUUUAAAUGAGAUUCGUUAUUGUUGCUUUUAUGUGAAUCCUUAGUACAUGGCCUGCUGCAAACACCCAGGACACCGAGGAAAUGGUCGUUGCUGUUUGAUUUUCCUCAUCCCCAGUCUCAAGGGGAAGCCAGGCCAAUGAGAAGAGCCACUUGCCAUCAGGCUGUCCCUUUAGGAGUCACUGAAAGGGCCCCAGGGUGGGAUGGUGGGGAGGUAAGAACCACGAGAGAAGUUGGCACAAAGGAGUUAUGGGAAAAAGGGUCCAAGAUAGGCAGAAAAGAAGCUUUUGCCAGUUGAUGGAGGAAGAAAGGAAGUCAGAGGGCUUAGACAGUGAGGGGGGACAGAACAUCUCCAUGUGCACUCUCAUCUCUUGCAGUCAGCAACAGGUAUCUACGGGGAGGGCCGUGCAUCCUCUGCUACCCUGGAGGAUCUGGAGGUCAGAGGCCCUGGGCCGAGGUGCAGUGACCCUGCAGGCCAGCCCUCCAACCUCCUCCCACAGCAGGGGCUUGUUGCCCCUCUGCCAGCUGAGGCAGCCCACACACCCCCACCAGCCCUAAUGAUUAUUCUCUCUACCCCUCCCCACAAUCUUCCUCCAACUCCUUCUCUCUGCAUGCACCUCAGAGCCAGUACCAAGAACUAGCAGUGGCCCUGGAUUCAAGCUCCGCAAUAAUCAGUCAACUCACUGAAAACAUCAAUUCACUGGUAAGAGUCCAGUGGGGUCCCCUGAUUACAGCUGGUCAAUCCCGGACUCCAGUUUCCUCUUGGGGCCCUGAAGAAAGGGGCUAGGGGCCCCUGAUGCCAAGGGCAAAUGGGGAGCUGGGCACCCAGGUCUCGCCUGGAGGGACCCCAGAGCACAGAACAUGCAGCAUGGCUCUUCUGCACUGCCCUCUUUGCUGACUCUCUCUUCUCCAGACACCCCUGCUCUAGUCCUUGCCACACAUGCCCUGGGGUUGUCACCUUUCCGGGAAGCACUAGCCUGACUGGUUGUCAGGGGUCCAUAUUUCUGCUCUGCCUCAGUCCCUAAUUUGCUUUUUGAGUCUGGACAAGUCAUCUCUCCUCUUUAUGCUCGUGUUUCUGGAGGAGGCAGAGAGUAUCAAAGGUCUCGGUUAGCUCUGAAAGUCAGAGAUUUAAAGGCCCCUAGAAUGGAAACCUCAGGGCCAAGGGCUCCUGUCUGUCCUUUGCUGUUUUAUAUCUCUGCUAUGAAGAACUGUACCUGGCCUGUACAUGCUCAGUAAAUGUUUGUUGAAUGAAUGCACGUUUCUAAAUCACAAACUGGCAGAAGGGGGGUGGGCCUUUCUCAAACUCUGUCUCUAGAGGUUCACCAGCCCCUCCCUCCAGGGCCCUUUUCCCCCUUUGCUUUGGGCAGGUUCGCACAUCUAAGGAGGAGAAGAAGCAUGAGAUACAUCGGGUACAGAAGCUUGGGAGGAGCUUGUUCAAACUCAAAAACCAGACGGCUGAACCCCUGGCCCCAGAGCCCCCAGCAGGGCCAUCUAAGGUGGAGCAGCUACAAGAUGAGACCAACCACCUAAGGAAGGAGCUAGAGAGUGUGGGAAGACAGCUCCAGGCUGAGGUGGAAAACAAUCAGAUGUUGAGUCUCCUGAACAGGAGACAGGAGGAGAGGCUACGUGAACAGGAGGAGAGGCUGUGUGAACAGGAGGAGAGGCUGUGUGAACAGGAGGAGAGGCUGUGUGAACGGGAGAAGCUGCCAGGGCAGGAGAGGCUGCUGGAAGAGGUGGAGAAGCUGUUAGAACAGGAGAGGCGGCAGGAGGAGCAGGAGAGGCUGCUGGAGAGGGAGAGGCUGCUGGACGAGGUGGAGGAGCUCCUGGAGCAGGAGAGGCUUCGGCAAGAGGAUGAGAGGCUGUGGCAGCAGGAGACUCUGCAG